RNAcentral lists this ribosomal RNA (460 nucleotides) under uncultured bacterium. Its description in RNAcentral is "partial 16S ribosomal RNA". It matches the Rfam family "Bacterial small subunit ribosomal RNA", at positions 338 to 795 of the family's 1533-position model. The record is from RNAcentral.
CCUACGGGCGGCAGCAGUGAGGAAUAUUGGUCAAUGGGCUUACGCCUGAACCAGCCAAGUCGCGUGAGGGAAGACUGCCCUAUGGGUUGUAAACCUCUUUUGUCAGGGAGCAACGCCGGCUACGUGUAGCCGGACUGAGAGUACCUGAAGAAAAAGCAUCGGCUAACUCCGUGCCAGCAGCCGCGGGAAUACGCAGGAUGCGAGCGUUAUCCGGAUUUAUUGGGUGUAAAGGGUGCGUAUGCGGCAUGCCAAGUCAGCGGUAAAAUCGCGGGGCUCAACCUCGCUCCGCCGUUGAAACUGGCGUUCUUGAGUGGGCGAGAAGUAUGCGGAAUGCGUGGUGUAGCGGUGAAAUGCAUAGAUAUCACGCAGAACUCCGAUUGCGAAGGCAGCAUACCGGCGCCCAACUGACGUUGAGGCUCGAAAGCGUGGGGAGCAAACAGGAUUAGAUACCCUUGUAGUC